GACGAACGCUGGCGGCGUGCUUAACACAUGCAAGUCGAACGGAAAGGCCCUGCUUUUGUGGGGUGCUCGAGUGGCGAACGGGUGAGUAACACGUGAGUAACCUGCCCUUGACUUUGGGAUAACUUCAGGAAACUGGGGCUAAUACCGGAUAGGAGCUCCUGCUGCAUGGUGGGGGUUGGAAAGUUUCGGCGGUUGGGGAUGGACUCGCGGCUUAUCAGCUUGUUGGUGGGGUAGUGGCUUACCAAGGCUUUGACGGGUAGCCGGCCGGAGAGGGUGACCGGCCACAUUGGUACUGCGGUACGGCCCAGACUCCUACGGGAGGCAGCAGUGGGGAAUAUUGCACAAUGGGCGGAAGCCUGAUGCAGCAACGCCGCGUGCGUGAUGACGGCCUUCGGGUUGUAAACCGCUUUCGCCUGUGACGAAGCGUUAGUGACGGUAAUGGGUAAAGAAGCACCGGCUAACUACGUG
This 468-nucleotide ribosomal RNA is filed under the name uncultured bacterium. RNAcentral describes it as "partial 16S ribosomal RNA". It matches the Rfam family "Bacterial small subunit ribosomal RNA", at positions 28 to 507 of the family's 1533-position model. The record is from RNAcentral.